Molecule: ribosomal RNA, 338 nt
Filed under: uncultured bacterium
Lineage: Bacteria
Description: bacterial SSU rRNA
Rfam family: Bacterial small subunit ribosomal RNA
Source: RNAcentral
GUGCUAAUACCGGAUAAGCCCUUACGGGGAAAGAUUUAUCGCCGAAAGAUCGGCCCGCGUCUGAUUAGCUAGUUGGUAGGGUAAUGGCCUACCAAGGCGACGAUCAGUAGCUGGUCUGAGAGGAUGAUCCGCCACACUGGGACUGAGACACGGCCCAGACUCCUACGGGAGGCAGCAGUGGGGAAUUUUGGACAAUGGGCGAAAGCCUGAUCCAGCCAUGCCGCGUGUCUGAAGAAGGCCUUCGGGUUGUAAAGGACUUUUGUCAGGGAGCAAAACUUAGAGGUUAAUAACCUUUGAGGUUGGGAGUACCUGAAGAAUAAGCACCGGCUAACUACGUG